UGGACAUUCGCCUCUCUCUCUCUCUGGUC
Molecule: non-coding RNA, 29 nt
Filed under: Mus musculus (house mouse)
Lineage: Eukaryota; Metazoa; Chordata; Mammalia; Rodentia; Muridae
Source: RNAcentral